RNAcentral lists this unclassified non-coding RNA (138 nucleotides) under Ascomycota sp. RNAcentral describes it as "partial internal transcribed spacer 2". RNAcentral also lists the same sequence under 1 other name. The record is from RNAcentral. Lineage: Eukaryota; Fungi; Ascomycota.
UAGCCAAUCCAGCCCCGCUGGGUCUUGGGCUCGCCGGUAGGCGUCCCUCAAAGCCAGUGGCGGCGCCGUCCGGCUCCCGAGCGUAGUACAACCCCUCGCUACGGGACCGGGCGCGCGCCCGCCAGCAAACCCUUCUAC